Long non-coding RNA from Artibeus jamaicensis (Jamaican fruit-eating bat), 1098 nucleotides. RefSeq lists it as uncharacterized. The transcript has 3 exons. The record is from RefSeq and is a predicted model, not a curated record. NCBI's taxonomy places the organism in Eukaryota, Metazoa, Chordata, Mammalia, Chiroptera, Phyllostomidae.
CCCAACCAACUGAACCACCAGUCAGGGGUUGGACGUGUCUUUGAUUAAGGCUGUUUGGAGGAAUGAGACUGAGGACAGGAAAACCAGCUAAGAUCACAGAUGUUCAUUCCCCUGAAGGUUGACCCAGAAAUGAUGAACUUUGGUUUCUUGGCCUUUUCAUGGUAAUUGAUGAUUUUCCAGUGUGUCCGGCCCUACUCAACUCUCUCAAUACCAAAGGUCACUGAGCAUUUUUUUUUCAUCUGUUCACCCAGCAGAGAGGCUCCGGAAAGUUUCUGGGGCGGGACAGGUACAACACAAGCUCGGCUUUUACCCUUUCUCUCAAAAGAGUUGGCUUUACUUAAUCAGGCCUACAGUUGAACAACUUGGACCACCUGCAGCACCUCUCAGAAAACAGCUGAGUGCUAAAGUUGUAAGAGGCAAAACAUGAAGAGGAAAAUGAACUUCUGGAUGAGUGGAAAUAGGUGACCGAGUUCUGCGGUUAGCACAGACCAUGGUUCACUGUGAAGGAGAUGGGAGAGCCUCAGAUCUUCACGUGCACACACCCCGAAGUCAUCAGAUCCCCUCGGCUCCGAGUUACGGUCAACUGGAUGUAUUUGCUGCUUCCUUCCUACAAUUUCCCACGUGUAUUACUGCUGACUGCAAACACGUAUCCAAAAAAAGACAGGCAGGAGGAGGAAAGCGGAGGGGAGCCACAGAACAAGAAGCAGGAAGGAGAGCGAGCUGUGGGGGUGGGGGUGAGGAAAACGGAGCUGGAGACCACAUUUUUUUUAAAUGCUGCAGAAGCCUUUCUCUUCGGUGAGACACUGAGGUGAAGUGCACUUCGGAUGCCGUCUGUCCUGAUGGAGUCACCAGCAGAAGGCACUUCUUUUCUCAAGAAAACACACGUGGGGAGGAUGAAGAGGGUGAAAGGGCUUAAUACUCGGUGAGGAAGGAGACUAGACUUUGGGUGGUGAGCGCACACGGCAGUAUAGAGAUGACGUGUUAUAGGGCCGUCCACUCGAAACUCACAUACUGUAUUGAGCAAUGUCACCCCAAUAGGUUUAAUUUAAUAAUAAAAGAAUGAAUAGACUCUUGAGAGAAUGACUGCCUUCUUUAGAG